AAAUUGAAGAGUUUGAUCAUGGCUCAGAUUGAACGCUGGCGGCAGGCCUAACACAUGCAAGUCGAACGGUAACAGGAAACAGCUUGCUGUUUCGCUGACGAGUGGCGGACGGGUGAGUAAUGUCUGGGAAACUGCCUGAUGGAGGGGGAUAACUACU
Molecule: ribosomal RNA, 157 nt
Filed under: Escherichia coli
Lineage: Bacteria; Pseudomonadati; Pseudomonadota; Gammaproteobacteria; Enterobacterales; Enterobacteriaceae
Description: partial 16S ribosomal RNA
Rfam family: Bacterial small subunit ribosomal RNA
Source: RNAcentral